This is a long non-coding RNA of Strongylocentrotus purpuratus (purple sea urchin), 331 nucleotides long. RefSeq lists it as uncharacterized. The record is from RefSeq and is a predicted model, not a curated record. Lineage: Eukaryota; Metazoa; Echinodermata; Echinoidea; Camarodonta; Strongylocentrotidae. The transcript has 4 exons.
UUUAUGCACGACGCAGGCUACUCGCACAAACUGAGAAGAUUUAGUUCAUUGAGAAUGGAUGGAAACUGAUGAAGAGCUGGAAGGAGUUAACUGAUGAGUAGACAUUACAACAUUUCUUAUAUUUUCAAGAUGAAGCUGAAAGUCCCAUGCAGGAUGAUGCUUCUCUACAGUGGAUGAUGAAAGCAUGCUGAUUACAAACCCAGGAGAGGAAUAAAGAACAGAUAUUGACAGAAUCAUAUCUAGAGAUGUGGGCCUACUGCACUUCAUACAAGCAAGUGUGCUAAUAUACCAUACUUGGGUUAUCAUCACAGCCCUUUCUUCUGAAAACUAG